This 497-nucleotide ribosomal RNA is filed under the name uncultured bacterium. RNAcentral's name for it is "partial 16S ribosomal RNA". It matches the Rfam family "Bacterial small subunit ribosomal RNA", at positions 28 to 507 of the family's 1533-position model. The record is from RNAcentral.
GACGAACGCUGGCGGCGUGCCUAAUACAUGCAAGUUGAGCGAUGAAGAUUGGUGCUUGCACCAAUUUGAAGAGCAGCGAACGGGUGAGUAACGCGUGGGGCAUCUGCCUUUGAGCGGGGGACAACAUUUGGAAACGAAUGCUAAUACCGCAUAAUAACUUUAAACAUAAGUUUUAAGUUUGAAAGAUGCAAUUGCAUCACUCAAAGAUGAUCCCGCGUUGUAUUAGCUAGUUGGUGAGGUAAAGGCUCACCAAGGCGAUGAUACAUAGCCGACCUGAGAGGGUGAUCGGCCACAUUGGGACUGAGACACGGCCCAAACUCCUACGGGAGGCAGCAGUAGGGAAUCUUCGGCAAUGGACGAAAGUCUGACCGUGCAACGCCGCGUGAGUGAAGAAGGUUUUCGGAUCGUAAAACUCUGUUGGUAGAGAAGAACGUUGGUGAGAGUGGAAAGCUCAUCAAGUGACGGUAACUUACCAGAAAGGGACGGCUAACUACGUG